Molecule: ribosomal RNA, 500 nt
Filed under: uncultured bacterium
Lineage: Bacteria
Description: partial 16S ribosomal RNA
Rfam family: Bacterial small subunit ribosomal RNA
Source: RNAcentral
AUUGAACGCUGGCGGCAUGCCUUACACAUGCAAGUCGAACGGCAGCACGGGUGCUUGCACCUGGUGGCGAGUGGCGAACGGGUGAGUAAUACAUCGGAACGUACCUUAUCGUGGGGGAUAACGCAGCGAAAGCUGUGCUAAUACCGCAUACGCCCUGAGGGGGAAAGCGGGGGAUCGAAAGACCUCGCGCGAUUAGAGCGGCCGAUGCCUGAUAGCGUGUUGGUGGGGUAAAAGCCCACCAAGGCGACGAUCAGUAGCUGGUCUGAGAGGACGAUCAGCCACACUGGGACUGGGACACGGCCCAGACUCCUACGGGAGGCAGCAGUGGGGAAUUUUGGACAAUGGGGGCAACCCUGAUCCAGCAAUGCCGCGUGAGUGAAGAAGGCCUUCGGGUUGUAAAGCUCUUUUGUCAGGGAAGAAACACCGGCUCUAACACAGUCCGGGAAUGACGGUACCUGAAGAAUAAGCACCGGCUAACUACGUGCCAGCCGCCGCCGUAA